UACGGAGGGUGCAAGCGUUGUCCGGAUUUAUUGGGUUUAAAGGGUGCGUAGGUGGUUGAAUAAGUCUGGUUUGAAAGUCAGUCGCUUAACGAUUGAGGGUGGCUGGAUACUGUUCAACUUGAAUAAUCUGGAGGUAGGCGGAACGGGUUGUGUAGCGGUGAAAUGCAUAGAUAUGACCCAGAACACCGAUUGCGAAGGCAGCCUACUACGGAUUGAUUGACACUGAGGCACGAGAGCAUGGGGAGCAAACAGGAUUAGAUACCCUGGUAGUCCAUGCCGUAAACGAUGAUCACUGUCUGUUUGGCUUUCGGGCUGAGUGGAUAAGCGAAAGCGAUAAGUGAUCCACCUGGGGAGUACGCCGGCAACGGUGAA
Molecule: ribosomal RNA, 372 nt
Filed under: uncultured bacterium
Lineage: Bacteria
Description: bacterial SSU rRNA
Rfam family: Bacterial small subunit ribosomal RNA
Source: RNAcentral